CCCAGACUCCUACGGGAGGCAGCAGUGGGGAAUAUUGGGCAAUGGGCGCAAGCCUGACCCAGCAACGCCGCGUGAAGGAAGAAGGCUUUCGGGUUGUAAACUUCUUUUCUCAGGGACGAAUAGAUGACGGUACCUGAGGAAUAAGCCACGGCUAACUACGUGCCAGCAGCCGCGGUAAUACGUAGGUGGCAAGCGUUAUCCGGAUUUAUUGGGUGUAAAGGGCGUGUAGGCGGGAGCGCAAGUCAGAUGUGAAAACUCAGGGCUCAACCCUGAGCCUGCAUUUGAAACUGUGUUUCUUGAGUGCUGGAGAGGCAAUCGGAAUUCCUGGUGUAGCGGUGAAAUGCGUAGAUAUCAGGAGGAACACCGGCGGCGAAGGCGGCCUGCUGGACCGUGACUGACGUUGAGGCUCGAGAGCGUGGGGAGCAAACAGGAUUAGAUACCCCCGUAA
Molecule: ribosomal RNA, 448 nt
Filed under: uncultured bacterium
Lineage: Bacteria
Description: bacterial SSU rRNA
Rfam family: Bacterial small subunit ribosomal RNA
Source: RNAcentral